AUCCAUGGUCAUACCACCUUGAACGCACCUGAUUUCACCUGAUCUUGGAAGCUAAACAGGGUCAGACCUGGUCAGUACUUAGAUGGGGGAAAGAAUUCUUUCUUCUAGUAAUACCACUGGAAGUGCUUU
This is a ribosomal RNA of Mesocricetus auratus (golden hamster), 129 nucleotides long. Lineage: Eukaryota; Metazoa; Chordata; Mammalia; Rodentia; Cricetidae. The record is from Ensembl.